CGUUGUUUUGCUGCGCCGUCUGGAUAAAACCGUUUGUUUUAUUUCCCCGUCGAUAUUUCCCUGCCGUUGAAUAAAAUAACAAAACGAACACGUUCAAAUUGAUCGUAACGGGCGAGCUGCGACACUCUGGUGUCGGCGGUCCCGCCGCCAACGUGUUUUUAUUUCAUUUUUCGGAUUCUGAGCCGAGAAACGUGUUGGUUUUACUAAGGUUUUUAUUUGAAUCUUUUCAUUUUUCGUCCGCCCGACUAUCGCACUUUACACGAUACGUAUUUUACUACCGCGCCUAACCUGUACGGGCGCGUUUUAAAACAAACGACGAUAAUAUUGUUGCGUCAAGUCCGAGCCGAUACGUAUUGUAAUUACCACACAUAGAUAAUAAUAUAAUUAGAAACGGUCUUAUUUUUUUUUCUCUCUUCUAUACUACACACUCCGCGACCGGGCGCGAACCAGAAUUAAUUAAUUUUUCUUUUCGGACCGAAAGAUUUAUGAAAAUUAAUCGCGUACAACUAUAAUACACACACGCGUGUAUAUAGCGACGACGACGAUUCUCCUUUUGACGCCGGUGUAUAAUAUUUAUUCUUUUUUUUUUUUAAUGGAAAGUCGGUUCGUUCCGAUUCAUCACUAUUGUUACCCGUCCGAUUGAAUUUAUAAUUAAAAACGUAUAAUCUCAUAAACUUUAUUGUUAGGUACAACCCGUGGUACUACCAUUUAUACUACCGGCGUCCGACUUACGCGCGUAUACAAAUUAUAAAAACAUAAUGCAUCGGAGCGAGUGUGUAUAGAACACACGGGCCGAAAACUCGACCGAAUUUUGAACAUUUUUUUUCAGACUGUGGCGGCGAAACAACAGCAAAGAAGCGAUUACAGUUUGCGCGCGUUAUCUGAAAAAUACGCGGAUAUUUUGCCGGGCGGAAAUCUUUGUUUGAACGAACGGUCGAAAUACUAACGGGUUUUCUAUACGGCGUACGAAUCGAUCGUAUUUUUAUUGAUUUCUGGAUAUUAUUUAUUUUUAUUUUUUGUUGUUUUUUUUAGCAAUACGAAGGAAAAGCUACGUGUAAAUAUUAAUACAUAAUAUUACUCCGCUCCGGAUCGGUUUUUCGAUUGCGUUGUGAAACGUAUCACAACGCGUAUUACAACGUGUAAAUCAAAUCGGUCAUUUUUUUUUUUUUUUUUUUUUUUUUUUUCGAAAAAGUGUUUGAAAACCGUUUUAAAUUAUGUAUUUUAUAAGCACCAUCACGCGGAAAAUAUCAUCUCAGGUAUACUGCGUGAAAAAAUCCGAGCGGUUUUCAAUGACCGAAAAAAUGUUUUCCCGCGGGAAAAUAAAAAAUAGUUUUUGUAAAACUAAAUAACGCGCCUUCGCUAGGAGCGCGAAAUAAUUGGCGUUUAUGUUUUAUUUAGC
This is a non-coding RNA of Cinara cedri, 1399 nucleotides long. Lineage: Eukaryota; Metazoa; Arthropoda; Insecta; Hemiptera; Aphididae. The record is from the annotation of a GenBank genome assembly.